UACAGAGGUCCCAAGCGUUGUUCGGAUUCACUGGGCGUAAAGGGUGCGUAGGUGGUGAGGUAAGUCGGAUGUGAAAGCUCCGAGCUCAACUCGGAAAUGGCAUUGGAAACUACCUUGCUCGAGGGUUUGAGGGGGGACUGGAAUACUUGGUGUAGCAGUGAAAUGCGUAGAUAUCAAGUAGAACACCAGUGGCGAAGGCGAGUCCCUGGAAAACUCCUGACACUGAGGCACGAAAGCUAGGGGAGCAAACAGG
RNAcentral lists this ribosomal RNA (253 nucleotides) under uncultured bacterium. RNAcentral's name for it is "partial 16S ribosomal RNA". It matches the Rfam family "Bacterial small subunit ribosomal RNA", at positions 524 to 776 of the family's 1533-position model. RNAcentral also lists the same sequence under 1 other name. The record is from RNAcentral.